GAUGAACGCUGGCGGCGUGCCUAAUACAUGCAAGUCGAGCGAACGGACGAGAAUCUUGCUUCUCUGAUGUUAGCGGCGGACGGGUGAGUAACACGUGGAUACCCUACCUAUAAGACUGGGAUAACUUCGGGAAACCGGCUCUAAUACCGGAUAAUAUUUUGAACCGCAUGGUUCAAGAGUGAAAGACGGUCUUGCUGUCACUUAUAGAUGGAUCCUCGCUGCAUUAGCUAGUUGGUAAGGUAACGGCUUACCAAGGCAACGAUGCAUAGCCGACCUGAGAGGGUGAUCGGCCACACUGGAACUGAGACACGGUCCAGACUCCUACGGGAGGCAGCAGUAGGGAAUCUUCCGCAAAGGGCGAAAGCCUGACGGAGCAACGCCGCGUGAGUGAUGAAGGUCUGCGGAUCGUAAAACUCUGUUAUUAGGGAAGAACAUAUGUGUAAGUAACUGUGCACAUCUUGACGGUACCGAAUCAGAAAGCCACGGCUAACUACGUG
RNAcentral lists this ribosomal RNA (497 nucleotides) under uncultured bacterium. RNAcentral's name for it is "partial 16S ribosomal RNA". It matches the Rfam family "Bacterial small subunit ribosomal RNA", at positions 28 to 507 of the family's 1533-position model. The record is from RNAcentral.